GGAGGGUGGUGAGCACAGUGCAGGGAUGAAGGAGGUGGUGAGCACAGUGCAGGGAUGAAGGAGGGUGGUGAGCACAGUGCAGGGAUGAAGGAGGUGGUGAGCACAGUGCAGGGAUGAAGGAGGGUGGUGAGCACAGUGCAGGGAUGAAGGAGGUGGUGAGCACAGUGCAGGGAUGAAGGAGGGUGGUGAGCACAGUGCAGGGAUGAAGGAGGUGGUGAGCACAGUGCAGGGAUGAAGGAGGUGGUGAGCACAGUGCAGGGAUGAAGGAGGUGGUGAGCACAGUGCAGGGAUGAAGGAGGGUGGUGAGCACAGUGCAGGGAUGAAGGAGGUGGUGAGCACAGUGCAGGGAUGGAGGAGGGUGGUGAGCACAGUGCAGGGAUGAAGGAGGUGGUGAGCACAGUGCAGGGAUGAAGGAGGUGGUGAGCACAGUGCAGGGAUGAAGGAGGGUGGUGAGCACAGUGCAGGGAUGAAGGAGGGUGGU
This is a long non-coding RNA of Apodemus sylvaticus (European woodmouse), 481 nucleotides long. RefSeq lists it as uncharacterized. Lineage: Eukaryota; Metazoa; Chordata; Mammalia; Rodentia; Muridae. The record is from RefSeq and is a predicted model, not a curated record. The transcript is spliced from 3 exons.